This 64-nucleotide transfer RNA is filed under the name Heteropsylla cubana. RNAcentral's name for it is "tRNA-Ser". The record is from RNAcentral. Lineage: Eukaryota; Metazoa; Arthropoda; Insecta; Hemiptera; Psyllidae.
AAGUAUAAUAAUUUAUAUAAAAUAUUUACCUUGAAAGUAAAAAAAAGAAAAUCUACUUUAUACU